UGCCUGGAGAAGCGCGAGCGUCAUUAGGGCCGACCGAGAAGAGAUCAGCGGCGGUGGGGUUGGGGGAGAAUUCAGUGACGGCGUCGGUUAGCCGAGGAGAAGCGGGAGGUGGCGCCGCGCCGCAGUGCGACCGUGCGAGGGGAUGAGGAGGAGUGGAGGCAGAGCAAAAAUGCAAGAAAACCCAGUUUUUGCAGAAAAUCCCAAUUCCGUCCGCAACCUGGGCUUCGGGUUGAUUCUUCAAAAACGGAAGGGGUAAAAUGCAAAUUGGCUGACGGACCGACGACGAAGCCUUGCUAUUAGAUAGAUACUGUAUCUUAAUCCAUCACCUUUCAAAACAUUGAGGUGAUACCGAGAGCAUACAUUCUCUUCUUUUUUAAGAGAGAGAUCAUACAUUUUUUUUUUAAAAUCACAUCUAACUUUAUUUAAACUCGAUAAUCAUUACAUCUGUAGUGCUUGGCUUAUUUUUUUUUAGCGAAUUUAGGGGUCGUAGUGCUUCAGUGCCUGGAUGGUCCGUGGAAACGGAUGCGUACUGUGCAAGUCUGUCCAGAGAACCCAUUAGGAAAAUGAAUUAGUUCUGGCCCAAACAAGCCCAUCCACUCCUUUCUUCCUCCGUACGAAUGGGCCGCUAGGUAUCAAC
RNAcentral lists this long non-coding RNA (637 nucleotides) under Brachypodium distachyon (stiff brome). Its description in RNAcentral is "long non-coding RNA (BDIS_LNC001038)". The record is from RNAcentral. Lineage: Eukaryota; Viridiplantae; Streptophyta; Magnoliopsida; Poales; Poaceae.